RNAcentral lists this long non-coding RNA (528 nucleotides) under Lathyrus oleraceus (garden pea). RNAcentral describes it as "Pisum sativum (pea) long non-coding RNA (PSAT_LNC008436)". The record is from RNAcentral. Lineage: Eukaryota; Viridiplantae; Streptophyta; Magnoliopsida; Fabales; Fabaceae.
ACAAUUAAAACUAUUAAUAUUCAAAAGUUUAAAAAUAAAUAAAAUAAUUUGAAAGAAAAGAAGAAGAAAAAGUUACACGGUGGAUCUGAGUUGUGAUAUGGUUUUGCGUCACAGCGGGAAUAUGUUCAGCAGUGGUCUUGGUGGUUUCGUCGGUGAGGGAGCAAGGAGAUUUGGUGCGUGUGGAGACGAAGAAGAUGUUGUUGUCGAUGAAUGGUAUUGAUGAACGGAGGACGGGAUGUGUUUUGGAUGGAGGUUGUGACGGUUUGAACGGAGGAGCACGGUGGUGUCGUGGUGUUUUCGGUUGUGGAAGAGCAGAUGGAGGCGGAUGAGAUGCUUUUAGGAGGCGGAGGAAACGAUUUUCGGCUGGAUUUAGAGAGGAAGAUGGAUGUGGUCUUGGUGUGUAGUGAGGAAGAAGAAUGUGUGGUUGUGUUUGUUGUUGUUGCUGUUGACGGUGGUUUUGUGUUGAGUGAGAGAGUUUCUUUUAAUUUUUCUUUUCUUUCUGUUUUCUAGAGAGAGUCUGUAUGUGGA